GGUCCCGCCUGCCCUGUGACUAUAUGUUUAACGGCCGCGGUAUUUUGACCGUGCGAAGGUAGCGCAAUCACUUGUCUUUUAAAUGGAGACCUGUAUGAAUGGCAUAACGAGGGCUUAACUGUCUCCUCUUUCCAGUCAAUGAAAUUGAUCUCCCCGUGCAGAAGCGGGGAUAAACCCAUAAGACGAGAAGACCCUAUGGAGCUUUAGACAUAAAGCAGAUCAUGUUAAGAACCCUCACAUAAGAGAUAAAACAAGACGAACCCUGAUGGAAUGUCUUUGGUUGGGGCGACCGCGGAGGAAAAUAAAGCCUCCAUGUGGACCGGGACCCAAAAAUCCCAAAACCAAGAGCCUCCGCUCUAAGUAGCAGAAAAUUCUGACCAGCCAGAUCCGGCCUAUGCCGAUCAACGAACCGAGUUACCCUAGGGAUAACAGCGCAAUCCCCUUCUAGAGCCCCUAUCGCCAAGGGGGUUUACGACCUCGAUGUUGGAUCAGGACAUCCUAAUGGUGCAGCCGCUAUUAAGGGUUCGUUUGUUCAACGAUUAAAGUCCUACGUGAUC
This 557-nucleotide ribosomal RNA is filed under the name Choerodon oligacanthus (white-patch tuskfish). RNAcentral's name for it is "partial 16S ribosomal RNA". It matches the Rfam family "Bacterial large subunit ribosomal RNA", at positions 1851 to 2605 of the family's 2925-position model. Lineage: Eukaryota; Metazoa; Chordata; Actinopteri; Labriformes; Labridae. The record is from RNAcentral.